This 253-nucleotide ribosomal RNA is filed under the name uncultured bacterium. RNAcentral describes it as "partial 16S ribosomal RNA". It matches the Rfam family "Bacterial small subunit ribosomal RNA", at positions 524 to 776 of the family's 1533-position model. The record is from RNAcentral.
UACGUAGGGUGCAAGCGUUAAUCGGAAUUACUGGGCGUAAAGCGUGCGCAGGCGGUUUUGUAAGUCUGACGUGAAAUCCCCGGGCUCAACCUGGGAAUUGCGUUGGAGACUGCAAGGCUAGAAUCUGGCAGAGGGGGGAAGAAUUCCACGUGUAGCAGUGAAAUGCGUAGAGAUGUGGAGGAACACCGAUGGCGAAGGCAGCCCCCUGGGUCAAGAUUGACGCUCAUGCACGAAAGCGUGGGGAGCAAACAGG